GUCAUUAUUUGGCGAGCGUUUAGGCGUUUGCAUUUUUGAUUUACAGAAAACGCGUGAAUGCUUGAUUACGGCAUUAAAUUUUGUCGCUCAUAUGGCAAUGCGUGGUGGAAUGUUCUUAUUCAUUACGACGGGAAGGUGAAGAAAUUAGAACUCCGAAGCGAUUCUGGUGUGCAAAUCGAUCGUCUGACUUUGGUAUAGGGACGAGUGACUAAUCAAACUAUCUAGUAGCUAGUUCCCUUUGAAGUUUUCCUCAGAAUAGCUGUAGUACGUAAUAAAGCAGUCAUAUUCGACAAAGCAAAUGAACAGAAAGGAAUUGUGGGACGAAACGUCGUCAACUCAAACUGUCAGUGAGUAUGACGUCCCGCUUGCUUAAACGAAGCGUAGACAUUGAAUGUGUGCUCCAAGUAGAUCACUUAUGAUAAGGAAAACUGGCGCUGUGGGAUGAACCAAAUACUGAGUAUAAGUCUCCGCUCAGGCCAUCCAUUUUUAGGGCUGAUUUAAAAUCAAUUGGUCAAGGAAGCGUAAGGUUUCAUGCUGCGCUGGAUGAUCCAGUUUAGA
Molecule: non-coding RNA, 558 nt
Filed under: Loa loa (African eye worm)
Lineage: Eukaryota; Metazoa; Nematoda; Chromadorea; Rhabditida; Onchocercidae
Description: Eukaryotic large subunit ribosomal RNA
Rfam family: Eukaryotic large subunit ribosomal RNA
Source: Rfam by way of RNAcentral